Molecule: long non-coding RNA, 1280 nt
Organism: Amphiprion ocellaris (clown anemonefish)
Lineage: Eukaryota; Metazoa; Chordata; Actinopteri; Pomacentridae
Source: Ensembl
GGAGCCAGAGAGCAGCGAUUAUCAGACCAUAGAUGGUCGGCACACCUGGUAGUAGCUCUGGCUGCUGUUGAUCUUGUUUUUGGAGUAAAACACGGUGGAAGCUGAAUUAGUGAGGAUGACUCCUGCUCCUGUCAUCUCUAAGCUCCUCACACAUCUUUACCUGCACAUGAGGAAAAUCACUCCUGUAGAAUGCAGAUGUUCAGAGGGAGAUGAUGCCACAUCUGGUCCAGCAGAUGGAAGGUCUUGAAGUUCUCUGACUGGCCUCGACUGAAGAUGGUCGUCUCACUGGAUUUAAGGUUCAGAUGCUCAGUAACAAACUCCACCAAUGAGCCAACAGGGAAGCUUUAGGUUUAUUAAAUGUUGCUAUGAAGGUAUCACUGUUUUUCUUUGUGAAUGCAAUGUGCUCCAACUGAAACUUGAAUUAGAACUUAGAAGUAAAUCCUUCCAUCUGAAAGGAUUUAGUUGCAUUAAUAACCUCAUAACAUUCUAAUUUUUAUUCCAGUCUUGGUUGGAAAUAGAAUCUCUGUAUUGAUUCAGUUAAAAACUGAACUUCACAGCACGUUGAAGCAAAACAACCAGAUGAAAACUGUGAUGGUGUUGGAUUGUCAGACCGUAAUGUUGCAGCUCAGAGCAGCUUUUCUAUCUCAGUUCAUUCUGACAUUCAGCUAUGAAUCAACACAGCAGAUGGUGAUCCAUGCUGUGGAAGUCUCACAUCUCCUGAUUUAAUGGAGCUGCUUUGCACUUUUUACACUGUUUAUUCACCAACACUUUAUUUAAUCAAAGUCCCUUCUAGUUUUUAUGAGGAAUGUGAUGUUUUAAUGUCUCUGUGAAUAACUACAGUCUAAUGCAACAGCUGGAGUUGUAACAUCUGUCCUGAUAUUGAUCAUGAAGUAUUGAGCAGAAUACUUAUGGUUAGCAGUCAUCCCUGAAGUUUUACAGUAAAAUCUUUACUUGUGUUGUGAACUUUGGUAAGAAGCAGAAACGUUAGCGUUGCCAUGGAUACAUGAGUGUUAAAUUCAGUCCAUGUUUCCAUUUUGGGAAAUUCAGUCCAGUUCCAGAAUGUGGAGGAAUUUAGUCUCACAAUCACAGACAACAAAUAUUAUCUGAAAGUCGGGUUAUUGUUGUUUAUCAGCACAAUACAAAAAGAUUAAUGUUAGAAAUAUUCUAGUUAAGACUCUAGAAUAUCAUGAUUUCUGUAAAUUUACCUCAAUAAUAUGAAUGUUCAGGUUAAGAUUGUACAGUGAUAUUUAUUAUGUAAGUUUAGCUGAUUAAAGUUUAUG